This 253-nucleotide ribosomal RNA is filed under the name uncultured bacterium. RNAcentral's name for it is "partial 16S ribosomal RNA". It matches the Rfam family "Bacterial small subunit ribosomal RNA", at positions 524 to 776 of the family's 1533-position model. The record is from RNAcentral.
UACGGAGGGUGCAAGCGUUGUUCGGAAUUACUGGGCGUAAAGCGCGUGUAGGCGGGUGGGUAAGUCAGAUGUGAAAGCCUUCCGCUUAACGGAAGAAGGGCAUUUGAAACUGCCUGUCUAGAGUACGGGAGAGGAGAGUGGAAUUCCCGGUGUAGAGGUGAAAUUCGUAGAUAUCGGGAGGAACACCAGUGGCGAAGGCGGCUCUCUGGCCCGAUACUGACGCUGAGACGCGAAAGCGUGGGGAGCAAACAGG